GAUGAACGCUGGCGGCGUGCCUAAUACAUGCAAGUCGAGCGAACAGACGAGGAGCUUGCUCCUUUGACGUGAGCGGCGGGCGGGUGAGUAACACGUGGAUAAUCCACCUAUAAGACGGGGAUAACCUCGGGAAACCGGAGAUAAUACCGGAUAAGAUGCUGCACCGCAUGGUUCAACAGAGAAAGACGGUCUUGCGGGAACUUAUAGAUGGAUCUGCGCGGGAUUAGCUGGUUGGGAAGGUAACGGCUUACCAAGGCAACGAGGCGUAGCCGACCUGAGGGGGUGGUCGCCCACCCUGGAGCUUAGACGCCGUCCUGGCUCCUACGGGAGGCAGCAGUCUCGAAUCUUCCGCAAUGGUCGAAAGCCUUGCGGAAUGACCCCGCGUCUGUGAAGAAGAUCUUCCGAUCGUAAUGCUCUCUUAUUAGUGAUGAACAAAUUUGUAAUUAACUAUGCACGUCUUGACGGUACCUGAUCAGAAAGCCCCGGCUAACUACGUG
Molecule: ribosomal RNA, 497 nt
Filed under: uncultured bacterium
Lineage: Bacteria
Description: partial 16S ribosomal RNA
Rfam family: Bacterial small subunit ribosomal RNA
Source: RNAcentral